UGGCCCUGCAGCGGGGAGCUGCACAUCUCAGUUGAUUUACUGGUCAUAUGACCUUUGGAUUUGUUCUCCUCCUCUCCGAAGAAAUGGUACUCGGCUAAAAGUUUCCAUAUUUUCCAAAAUUUUGUCCUGAUAAGGAUCACCUAAAGUACUUGUACUUGUUGAAAGUGCUGCUCACCCAGUGCCAGAGGCAUGGUUCAUCCCUGUGGCUCCCGCAACUUCUCAGUCUCAACACCAGGGGCUGGAUCCUGCUUCUCUGAAGGAAGACUUUGACAUACAGGUCAUGAAUCUGAGAAACAGCUUGCAUAUAUUCGUCCAUGCAACAUCUUUUAUUGGAUGCCUACUAAAUUCCAGACAAAUCAUGACUGAUGAUGAUGUGGAGGUAUCCUAUGAAGAAAGGGAGGAGACUGGCUAAUCAACGAUCACACUCAAAGGUGGUUGGUAAAGUUACAUUUACAUUAUUUUCCUUGAAAAGAUAGAAAAGUAUAUUUUUACUAUAGUACAAUUACUCUGGCAGGAAAGACGGGACCCAAAGUAGUUGUGGUCAACUACUCAAAACCAUUUUAUAUCCUUAAAAAAUGAAACCUGGCUGUGCUGAAGUGAUUUGCUUUCUUGCAUUAGGUGAUAGAAGUAGAUCUUCAUGCUUUCAUUAAACAGAGAAAUAAUAUAUGGUUUUUCAUAAUACUUUAAAGUUACCAUUGAAUUAUCAAACGCCAAGGUAAAAUUUAUCAGGUUCAUUUCCACAUGGUUUUUUGAAACAUUAACUUGUUAGUUUCUGGAAACCUGUUCUAAGUUUGGUAAUUAAGAACUCUUUCACUUGGCAAUUAUGAGUGUAGUUUCAAUAUUUUUUUUCUGGUGAAAGUUUGUAUUAUAAAUAACUUCAAAUGAUAAAUGAAGAAUCUCUAAACCA
RNAcentral lists this long non-coding RNA (907 nucleotides) under Felis catus (domestic cat). Its description in RNAcentral is "lncRNA (ENSFCAG00000048950.1)". The record is from RNAcentral. Lineage: Eukaryota; Metazoa; Chordata; Mammalia; Carnivora; Felidae.